CAAUAGCGUAUAUUUAAGUUGUUGCAGUUAAAAAGCUCGUAGUCGGAUUUUGGAUGAGAACGAUCGGUCCGCCGUUAGGUGUGCACUGAUUGGUCUCAGCUUCCUGGUGAGGAGGUGUGCUUCACGGCCACUUAGUCACCGUGGUUACUUUGAAAAAAUUAGAGUGUUCAAAGCGGGCUUACGCUUGAAUAUAUUAGCAUGGAAUAACACCAUAGGACUCCUGUCCUAUUUCGUUGGUCUCGGGACGGGAGUAAUGAUUAAGAGGAACAGUUGGGGGCAUUCGUAUUUCAUUGUCAGAGGUGAAAUUCUUGGAUUUAUGAAAGACGAACUUCUGCGAAAGCAUUUGCCAAGGAUGUUUUCAUUGA
RNAcentral lists this ribosomal RNA (365 nucleotides) under uncultured eukaryote. Its description in RNAcentral is "partial 18S ribosomal RNA". It matches the Rfam family "Eukaryotic small subunit ribosomal RNA", at positions 592 to 976 of the family's 1831-position model. The record is from RNAcentral.